CCACCCUGCCACAGCUUCGGGACGACUGGAUCGCCGCGCCUGGGCCGGAGCGAGCCAUCUGCGGGCACUAUGCAAAGCGGGAGACGGCGCGAGCGGCGCCCGGCUCACACUAGCUCUUCCAGGACGCAGGUCUUUUUUUUUUUUUUUCUUUUUCUUUUUUCAUUUCCCAGAUACAGCUGAUCGAGUUCGCCGAGUGGCCGAGCGAGUGAGCGCUCCUCCGACUUGGGUGGAGGAAGGCACGGAAAAGUAUACGGGAGAAAAAGUGGGGGUUUUAGGGGUGGGGGUGGCAUAGGAGGAGGGAGGGGGGGAUCUGCAAAUCAUUCCACUUUUUAAACGAUCAUAGGUAGUGUCAAGGAUACGUGUCACCCUUGGUUCCUUUUAAAGGGGAGGUGGACAAUAAAAUACAGGUAGGUUUGGUAUUAAAAUAAUAGGUGCCAGAGGUUUCACAUCGGGUCCGCUGCAUCUGUUAUUAGACGAAGAUCAACAUUGGCUGAGUCCCAGUUUAUCUCCAGUCCAAAUUAUCAGGAAGAGGAAUAUUUACCCUUGGUUACCUCUGACAUUAGUUGGAUUGUAGGUAAAGCAGCCUUUAAAAAUAUAUAUGUUGCAAACAUCUGGCGAUUACCCUUCACUAAUUCACUCGCCCCAGAAAGACCAAAGAUAGCUGUUCAAUACAGGAUUUACACAGUUUUGACGCCUGGGCAACAAACUUUAAAGUUUAUUAGGCAAGAAAUUUCAAACGCAUAAAUCGCAGGCUCUAAAAUAAAGCCCUAGAAAAUUUACUUUGGUUUGACAUUUCUUGCUUGAAAAAUAACCAGCAAAAUUUCUUUAGAUAAUGUGGCUCUUAAAGAUCUCCUUGGGCUUUGCAAGUUACAAAUGCAAGCGAGCCUCAGCCGCAGCUAGAACGUCCCUUUCACCGGGCACAGUAAACGGCUUUUAAUAAAGCAGCCGCGUUUAUGACCUAAAGAUCCUAUAAAAGCUGGGACUUGCAAGAGCUGCGAAGCAGAAACAUUCAUACAUAGUCUAUUAGACACUCAUUUUUGUAAGUAGGAGGAGGACAAGUAGUCUUCGUGUGUCCCUCAAAUUUAAUCAGAUCAAAGGUUGAAUCAUGCUGUGUCGUGACAACAGGGUAUUUAUGAGGUGUGUUACAAGUACACUGGCCAAACACUACCAAUGUCUUCUGCGACACACACACACACACACUCCUUCCUAGGGAAUUUACAAUUUCAGCCUCAAAUUCACCAAACCGUAAAGAGGAUAUUAAGCCCUCCCUUUGAAUAAGAAUAGCGAUGUUAGUAUGUCCGAGUCUAUCCCGGCAGGAAACUUUUGGCACGAAUUUCAAACAGUGAAAAGGAGAAAAAAAAUUAGGUCGGUCAGGUUAGGUGUCGGCGAUAAGAAAAGAGAUUGCGGGAGCAUCCCCAGCCUUCUUCUUUCCCCUUUUGCCGCCCCCACACACUCCCCCCACGCGUCUAUCACGGAAGCAACACAGAGGAGCGCACACGCACCACUCACACCUCCAACUAUUGACUGUUGUAUCAGGUGUUCUAACCGGGAUGUGACAGUUGAGGCUGGGAGCAGAAAUAAUCAACAUGCCCAUUAGAUACAGGACGGAAUAAUGCUUCUAUUGGUUGGGUCCCUUCGAGAGAGAACCAUUCUCUGCUUUCAAUAGGACAGAAGAGCUCCUUGGCACUGGAUGCCUCCGGGUCUGGUUGAGAGAGGAAUGGUUAGGAGACUGUUCUGAGGAUACGCAGACAUCAUCCAAAGCUUCCUACAUUCAGAUGAGGACAGAGGUUGGGCCAGAGCUUUGUAAGCUUGUUACCUAAGGAUGGUUCUGACCAUGUAAGCAGAUCACAGAAGCUGGAGGCAAAGGAUGCCAAGAUGGGAAAGCCACAUAAUGGAAGGAUCCUGGAUUUCAGAGCUGUCACUUGGAGGAGGGGCACCCAGUGAAGGUGUCUUAUCUAACCCACACCAUAUCUUCAUGAAGUGGCCAUAUGGAUUUGAUCCCUAUCCUUCAGAGGUGCUCAGCCUAAGGGAACACGGAUAGUAGAUUAAGCACUGACCAGGUGAAAAAGAUUGAUCAUCAGAUGUUUCUUAUGUAUCAACCUGAUAUUUAAAUCCAUGAAGGACAGAGACGACAAAGGCAGGUGGAAUAGAUAGAGAAGAGAUUCAAGGUCUGAGCUCUACAUUACUCAAACUGUUAGAGAUUAGGAAGAAGAGGAAGACCUGGCAAAAGAAUGUCCUGGGAUGUAGAAAGAAAACCAGAAGCUUGUGUUCUCUGGAAACCAAAUGAAGAAAGGGCUUCCAGAAGGACAGACAAAGUGUAGUGUGUCAAAGGCUCCUGAGCAAUCAGAGGAGAGCACAAAGGGGCUCACAGGACUUUGGUAUCUGGAUCACCCAGUGACACUUCCUGAUCACGAGAAACUGUCAGACCAACAGGGGCACUUUCUGAAACCAGCAGUUCUUCAGUGCCCAAAUGCAACCUUGAUGGUUUGAUUUUGGAGGAUGGCAAUUCAUUAACAGCACUCCCCAGUGAUAAAUAUGAAAACCAAUAAAACCCCCCACCCAAGGCAAUCUCUCCCAGCUCCUCGCUUUGAGUAAAGUGAGUAACCUCCAUUUCUGCCAACUCCUGUCUUGUCUGAAGCCACAUUUCCCCAGCAAUGUCACAUAUGCAUUUCUUGAUCCUGGUCAUUUCUCCUCUUGGGAGAUGAAUCAUAAAGAAAAUGAGAUCUGUGUGCCCUGGUGACUAUGGAUGCAAGAGUCUGCUGCCCUGGAGGGAACAGCUGGAAAAGUAGAUGGUGAAGACGUGUGGGGGGGAAACAGUGGAGAAGGCAUCUUUGCAGGGGAUCAAGGUGACAGAGUGAUUAGUUACACUGUUUUGACAUGUGAGAACAGGGGGUUAUAAAAAUGGAUACAGGAAGAGGGAGAGAAAGUAAGGACCAAAACAUGAAGCCAGUCAUGAAUGUUUUUACAUAAAAAGCAGCAGAUUUACGGCAAAUAUGUGAUGUUUCCACAUUUUCUGCCUCUAGUUAGCAGGGGCAGCACAAAGAGCAUUACUGUGGAGCUGAACUUUGGGUAAAAGAUUAACAGCCAGUCCUUUCUCUCCAGUGUCUGCUUCCUUCUGGGCUUGCCCUGGGGGAAAAGGAGGGCUGGCAUGGAUAUGCCUGCAGCCCUCACCCUAGAUGUUCUUCCACGCCUCUCUGUUCAUUCAUUGCUUAGUCAUUCCUCAGGCAUGGAUUGAGACCACUGUGUGCCCAGGACCGACCUGGCCUAGGAUGGACAUAGAGAUGGAAAAGGCACAGGGAGCAGGUGACAGAGACAAAUCAAGGUCAUGGAGAAUAGCAGAGUAAGAUAGAAGAUGAAGGCAGGAGAUGGGGUUCUUGAGAAAGCGAGAGCAGGACUGACCCGUGUCUGCCUCACCUGUUAUUGCUGUAGCCUCUUCUCCUUGGAGUAUCCCUCCUGCUCUUGCAUCACCUUAGGAACUUGGAUCAGAGAGGAAAGUUACGGCCUGGAUAUGUUGUAGUAGGAGGGGACAAACAUGUUUGGAGACAGAAAUGCUUGGGGAGCGGGUGUUUUUGGGGGAUGAGACUUUCCAGGUCUCUCAAUUCACACUAUGUAGGUAGUUCACUGCACAGCUUAAAUAAGAGACAACUCUCCGGAGUGGUUGGCUCUCAUCCAAAAAAUGUGUUUUGGGCCUCAGAUUUCCAACGGAAGGGCUGAAGCGUGACUGGCCUGAUGUCAACUACUGAAGUCCACCUGCCCCUGCCCUAUCAGGUGUGGAAAUGCUGGGGUUCCUCUCUCAGAACCUACUUCCUGAGAUGUCGAAAUAUACCCAAGAGUAUUUCUGGGCCUUCUCCAAUCCGAAACUGUUUAGUUUUUGUGUGUGUGUGCCUACUUGGCCACACUAGAAGACAGAGGUGGCCUGGGUGAAAUGCAGGUUUCUAGAGGCUCUCUGACAAAGCUCAGGCCACCAGCCCCAGGCCAGCCUGUGGGUAGUCCUGGCUGACAGUCACUUCAUACCUCACCUGGGCUUUUUGCCAAAUUCAAAGUGUGUGUAUAUGUGGAGUGCUGGGUUCCCACCACUGACAGUCUGUAAGUCAUUCACUUAGCUCAAUUUGUCUUACUUUCUUCUGAAAUUUCUUCCUUCUUGUUCUUUUUCCCAGGAGAAACCAGGAGAAGGCAGUCCUAGGGCAGUCUCCGGGCCAGCUUUCCCUAAUAAGAAGGCAGAGCUCCUCUUCACCCAGACUUCAGACCUAUAGAGGCAGCCUGGGGUCCCGGGAUGCCCUUGCACUCAGAGAUGUCCCCAGAGUCCUAGGGAAAUGGAGGAUAACUAGGAGGAAGCUGUUCAUGGCUGGCGAUGAGGUCUAUACCUUCUUGUCCGUCUCAGUGCUGUCUGCUAUUGAAUUUUUGUGCAGAUCACAUUAACUUAAAGCCAGUUCUCAAGAAGCUCCCCCUGCCGCCGGCAUAUCCACCAGUUGCUCCCCUUUCCUGCCAUUAAUCAGGGUCUGCUAGUUAGAGAACAAAUUCCUAUUUGUCCAAACAGUUGCCAACACCCCCACCCCAAGGUAGUUAAAUGAGGAUGAAUGGGUCAUUCUUAUUAAAAAAUGACUUAAAUUUCUCAAAUUCUAUUUAUGUUUCUUUUACAUCCCAAUUUUCUAUAGAUUUAGUGACUCCAAAUGAUAAGGUCUCAAGCUCAUAAUAAUUUAUCCCUUGGGUAACACACAAGGCUUGGUGGUAUUUCAGUAAUAUUCAUGACAACAGCAGCUGUCGUGCUAAUAAGGACUGAUGUCACCAGAGCACUUUCUAUGUGCCAAGCAUGGUGCACAACACUUUACAUACAUUAUGUCAUUUAAUUUUCACAAAACCUCACAGAGGUAAAUAUUAUUAUCUUCCUCUGCAUAUAAGGAAAUGAAUGUUCGGAAAGAUUAAGUCAACUCACUGAGGUCCCAUCAGUGCUCUUUCAUAUGCCUCUGUUGCAGUCUCAUUGAACUGCUGAAAUCAGAAAAACCUGGAGACCUUGUUAACCUUCAGAUUCCUGGGCCCCAUCUUAGAUGCAGGGAGUCAGACUUCCUGGGAGUGUGGCCCUGGAAUUUUCAUUUGUAAACACAUUCCCCAAGAGACCUGUAUGCACACUAAAGUGGGAGAAUUCACGAUCUCUGGCUUUUGUGAUGUUUUAAACGCACUAUAUAAUUUCAGUAGCAAAAGAAUUGGGCUUUGGGAAGGGAGUGUGUGGUGAACCCUGAAAGCUGAAUGGACUUCCUUCCUGUGGAGGAGCAGUGGGAGAAACUGGAGGCAGAGAGCUGUGUUUCAUUCCUUGAUUGAGCCUUUGUGAGUUAUUUAAUCUCUUUCAGUCUCUAUUUUUUUCAUUUGUAAACCAGGAAGGAUACUUGUAUUUUCCAGGUGGUUGUGAGGUGUGAAAGAGAUGAGAGUAGAACAAAAUUUUAAAAGUUGAAAGCACUCAACAAAUGUAUUUGGUAUUAAUCAUGGGUUUCCCUGGGGCCGAGGAAGCCACCAGCCACCGCAGGCCUGUACACAAUGCCAGCCACCAUGUAUGGAUACGGAGGAGGCAAAAGGACUAGCGAACACUCCCAGGGACUGGAUGUCUUGAAUAUCUGUCCAACUUUCUUGGGAGGGGCCAUUUCUUCUGUAACUCAAAGGAAUUUAUUAUUUUUCAGCCAGGGAGGCAUGCUUUCUAUCUACUGCUAGUACUCCCAGACCAAGCUGUUUCAGUGGGACUGAGGUGUGACUUCUGCCUCGGUUUCAUCCAUCUGUGCAGGGAAGAGAAAAAUGCCUGCACCUCCACGGUCACACCCUCUGUUGGAACCACCUCCUUAAGCCAGAAUUAUUGAAUGUUCUCUAUGUGCCAGAAUUAUUAUUAUCUCAUUUGAUUCUCACAACAAUGCCAUGAAGUCUAUACAGACAUACCUUGGAAAUACAGCGGGUUUGGUUCCAGACCACCGCAAUAAAGCUAAUACCGCAAUAAAAUGGGUCACACGAAUUUUUUGGAUUAGGCUUCGGCUUAAGGGAAUGUUGUGGCUGGUUUGAUGUUUUAUCCAGACCGCUAACACUUUCUCCCUAUCAGCAAUGAGGCUGUUUUGCUUUCUUAUCAUUCCUGUGUUCACUGGAGUAGCACUUUUAAUUUCCUUCAAGAACUUUUCCUUUGCAUUCAUAACUUGGCUAACUGUUUGGCACAAGAGGCCUGCCUAGCUUUUGGCCUAUCUAAGCUUUUGACUUGCCUUCCUCACUGAGCUUAAUCAUCUCUAGCCUUGGAUUUAACGUGGAAAAUGUGUGACCCUUCCUUUCACUUGAACACUUGGAAGCUAUUGUAGGGUUAUUAACUGGCCUAAUUCAAUAUUAUUGUGUCUCAGGGAACAGGGAGGCCCAGAGAGAGAGAGACGGGAAAACAGAAAGUCAGUGGGGCAGGCAGAACACACACGUUUAUUUAUUAAGUUUGCUGUCAUAUGUUGGUGCAGUUCAUGCUGCCCCAAAACAAUUACAAUAACAAGAUCAAAGAUUCCUGGUCAUAGAUUGCCAUAACAGAUACAGUAAUCACGAAAAAGUUUGAGAUAUUGUGAGAAUUACGCAGAUAUUGUGAGAAAUAUGACCCAGAGACAAGAAGCGAGCACAUGCCGUUAGAAAAAUGGCACCAACAGACUUGCUUGCUGCAGGGUUACACAUACCUUCAAUUUGUAAAAAAAAAAAACUGUAAUAUCUGCAAAACGCAAUAAAGAAAAGUGUAAUAAAAUGCAGUCUGCCUGAACUUCAAUUAUUCCCAUUUUAUAGAAGAGGAAAUAGAUGCAGGGAGUUUGAUCUGCCUGAACUAGUAAAUGGUAGAACUCUGGGACUAACAUUCCUAUCCUCUAUGCUACAUUCCUAGGAAAGAACGCUCAGACAGGGUUGGACUGAGAGUGUGUUAAGCUUUGCACUGUUUUGAGCCCUCUGAAGGAGUGUCCGUAUUUGAAAGCUGGCCUCCUUCCUUUCACUGGCCCUCCACAGUGUGGCCUAAGUUAUUCAAUUAGGAAGGGAAAUAAUUGGCAGUGGAGAAUGCCUCUAGCAGUGGUAAUUACCUCCAGUGCCUUGUAGGAAUAGUCAAGCUACAUUUCAGUUUAUGCUGUAAAACCUUAAUUAUAAUAUAAACAGCUGCCCUUCAGCCCAGUGGGGCAGCCUUCCCCCGCCUUCCUUCUCUGGCCUCUGAAUGGCCCUGCCUCCUGAAUGGUCAGGGAGGUCCAGGGACGGAAGGAGACCUGGGAGGAGGGGAGCCGAUGACUAUGCGUGCGUUGGGGUUUGGAAGACUAAGCUGGAGGGAGCCACUGCCAGGGUCCCAUCUUCAAGUGAUGAAGCCAAAGGCAGCAUCCCCAUUCUUGGUACCACUCACACUGAGUCUCUUGGGGGAGCAGCCUCCAGCCAUUAGCAGUCAGCCCAGUGCCAUUAGGCUAGGAUAGGGUUUAGCAGGCUAUGGUAUCAUUUCAGGGUAACAUCUCUUUCUAUUUACUCCCCUAUAAGGGAGAACAGAGUCUUCCCUUCUAGAUCCAGACUUCCUGGCCAUGUAGGAGCCCUGUUGAGUGCCUGGUGCACUCUAGGUAGUAUGCGAGGCAUGGUUGCAAGGGUUCCCCAUUUCAACUUCACAGCACUUGGAUACACAGAAAAUUAACAUCCUCAUUUGACUAUUGAGGAAAAUGAGACUUUGAAAGUUUAAACGGAGAUAAGGCUUGGGAGGCAGACAGCCCUGUAAGUGACUUAAGUUCAGGAAGGAGAAGGACACUCAAUAUUUUUGUUCAGAGCACUGGGAAGGAGAGAGAGGGAUCAGUCACCAUCGGGCAUUUGAGAAGGUCCAGGAACAGGGGGCUGGUGAGCAGAGGGGGGAAUAACACCAGAGGGGCUGAAAUUGCUGAUUGCUGGGUUCACAGAUCUACCCACGAGCGGCCCAGGUACCCCAUGAGCGGCUGCUCUGUGUCAUCUGACCACUGGAUUGUAACCUGGGCUGAAAGAAUCAGAAGUCAGUGUGGCGAGGCAGGAGUCCUCAGAUGGUCAGAGCUGACUCUUCAACUCUUAAGGGCAAAAUGGAAAAUGUGAGCUUGUUGGUGGUCUUCGAAACACAGUAAGCAAUCCAUGCCCCUGAAGAGCAGGGAUAAUUAUAGGCAUGCCCUUGUUUUAUUGUGCUUUGCAGAUAUUGCAUGUUUUUACAAAUUGAAGAUUUAUGGCAACUCUGCAUACAGCAAAUCUAUUGAUGCCAUCUUUUUCCAAUAUCACAUGCUCACUCUGUGUCUCUGUCUCACAUUUUGGUAGUUCUCCCAAUAUUUCACACCUUAUUAUUAUUAUUAUAUCUGUUAUGAUGAUCUGUGGUCAGGGAUCUUUGAGGUUACUAUUGUAGUUGUUUUGAGGUGCCAUGAACUGCACCCAUGUAAGACAGCGAACAUAAUCAAUAAAUGUUGUGUGUUCUGACUGCUCCACCAACCGACUGUUUCCCUGUCUCUUUCUCUCUCCUCUGGCUCCCUAUUCCCUGAGGCACAAUCAUAUUGAAAUUAGGCCAAAUAAUAACCCUACAAUGGCUUCUAAAGGUUCAAGUAAAAGGAAGAGUCACAUCUCUUACUCUAAAUCAAAAGCUAGAAAUGAUUAAGCUUAGUGAGGAAGGCAUGUGGAAAGCUGAGA
Molecule: long non-coding RNA, 8643 nt
Filed under: Homo sapiens (human)
Lineage: Eukaryota; Metazoa; Chordata; Mammalia; Primates; Hominidae
Description: HSALNT0021651
Source: RNAcentral